UUUGCAGCACUGUGUCCUAAACAGGCAUGACACAAGAAGUUUGCAGUUACAAGUCUGUCCACACUCAAAAUAAAAAUCACAGCAAAUCUGAUGUUUUAACCAAUGAGGUUCCACUGGGGACGGGGAUACAGAGAUCAUCAUGACAGAAGAAAUCUAUUGGAAGUAGUUUGCUAUCUGGUCACCUUUGGCAUACUUUAUAUUAGCAUAUUAUGAUUUGGUACACACUCCUUAGCUCAUACUUAUUUAGAACAGAUAGUAUGUAAAAUGGGAUUCAGUCGCUAUCAGCAGGAGAGCUACUUUAGGUUCAUUUCCUCUCAUCAGGACGAUUGGCAGAAAACCCCCAUGACUCAGAAGACGAGCACAGUCACUGUGGGAUGUCCCCCUCUUCACUGGCAGACAGUGCAGCCGCUGCAUCUGCGCCUGAUGCAAACUAACAGCACUCCAAAUCCUGUACUAUGCUGUCUCCUGGAUGUACUCCAGGUUUUGUUUCAUAGAUACACAAAACCAUUAGAGAACUGAGACUUUGGUGCAAAACGGAUGUUAAAAAAAAAGUAAUGCAUGGUGCCUCGGUGGUUUUGGAAACUGUUGGAUCCAAAACCACAUGCAUGAAAGUGAAAUGUGUCCCUUGUCGAGUCGAUGGAGACCAACCCCAGCUGAUGUUCUUCCCUCGGGGACAACGUGACAUCUGCCAACC
This is a long non-coding RNA of Cyprinus carpio (common carp), 694 nucleotides long. The record is from Ensembl. Lineage: Eukaryota; Metazoa; Chordata; Actinopteri; Cypriniformes; Cyprinidae.